GGAUACUCCGCUGCACCACCAGCCGUACGGCACUGUGUGGAGACUGUCUGACUGUCGCCUCGGAAAGCAUUGCUGGGGUAUUUUUACUGGCUGCAGGCGGAGGGACUGAUCUUGGAAAGAAACUUCAUGUGAAGUCCCCAGCCCAUUUGCAGAUUCAUGUGCUGGUCAAUUUCUGGAUGAGAUUUCACCUUUCUCAGGUGGGUAAAGGUGAUCUCCUCCAUGAGGGCACAGAUCUGAGGUCCUAGUGAG
This 249-nucleotide long non-coding RNA is filed under the name Calidris pygmaea (Spoon-billed sandpiper). RNAcentral's name for it is "lncRNA (ENSCPGG00000006171.1)". The record is from RNAcentral. Lineage: Eukaryota; Metazoa; Chordata; Aves; Charadriiformes; Scolopacidae.